UACGGAGGAUGCAAGCGUUAUCCGGAAUGAUUGGGCGUAAAGCGUCCGCAGGUGGCUGUGUAAGUCUGCUGUUAAAGAGUGAGGCUCAACCUCAUAAAGGCAGUGGAAACUACAUGGCUAGAGUGCGUUCGGGGCAGAGGGAAUUCCUGGUGUAGCGGUGAAAUGCGUAGAGAUCAGGAAGAACACCGGUGGCGAAAGCGGAUCUCUGGGCCUUACCUGACGCUCAGGCGCGAAAGCUAGGGGAGCGAACUGG
Molecule: ribosomal RNA, 253 nt
Filed under: uncultured bacterium
Lineage: Bacteria
Description: partial 16S ribosomal RNA
Rfam family: Bacterial small subunit ribosomal RNA
Source: RNAcentral